UUAUCGUACCACCGAGGUGCAAGGGCUGUCGCUGACCUUUGAAGGUCGUGCACGCCCGAGCGCUCUCGCCACAAUCCAUCUCACCCCUUUGUGCAUCACCGCGUGGGUCCCCCUUUGCGGGGAGGGCUCGCGUUUUCACACAAAACUUGAUACAGUCUAGAAUGUUUAUUUUUGCGGUAACACGCAAUCAAUACAACUUUCAACAACGGAUCUCUUGGCUCUCGCAUCGAUGAAGAACGCAGCGAAAUGCGAUACGUAAUGUGAAUUGCAGAAUUCAGUGAAUCAUCGAAUCUUUGAACGCACCUUGCGCCCCUUGGCAUUCCGAGGGGCACACCCGUUUGAGUGUCGUGAAAUUCUCAAAAUCCUUUUCUUUGAUCGGAAUAGGACUUUUGGACUUGGAGGUUCAAUGCUCGCUUUCGCCUUUGAAAGCGAGCUCCUCUCAAAUGAAUCAGUGGGGUCCGCUUUGCUGGUCCUUGACGUGAUAAGAUGCUUCUACGUUUUGGAUUUGGCAUUGUUUUCUCCGCUCCUAACUGUCCCCAUGGGACAACGAUGGUGCUUCGGUCGUCGC
This 568-nucleotide ribosomal RNA is filed under the name uncultured Russula. RNAcentral describes it as "eukaryotic LSU rRNA". The stretch from base 195 to 348 matches the Rfam family "5.8S ribosomal RNA". Lineage: Eukaryota; Fungi; Basidiomycota; Agaricomycetes; Russulales; Russulaceae. The record is from RNAcentral.